Molecule: ribosomal RNA, 478 nt
Filed under: Porphyromonas cangingivalis
Lineage: Bacteria; Pseudomonadati; Bacteroidota; Bacteroidia; Bacteroidales; Porphyromonadaceae
Description: bacterial SSU rRNA
Rfam family: Bacterial small subunit ribosomal RNA
Source: RNAcentral
GAGUUUGAUUAUGGCUCAGGAUGAACGCUAGCGAUAGGCUUAACACAUGCAAGUCGAGGGGCAUCACGGGAUUAGCUUGCUAAUUUUGGUGGCGACCGGCGUAAGGGUGCGUAACGCGUAUGCAACUUGCCUGUCAGUGGGGAAUAACCCGGAGAAAUCCGGACUAAUACCGCAUACACUUUAGUUUCCGCAUGGGGGCUUUAGGAAAGAUUUAUUGCUGACAGAUAGGCAUGCGUUCCAUUAGAUAGUUGGUGAGGUAACGGCUCACCAAGUCAACGAUGGAUAGGGGAGCUGAGAGGCUUAUCCCCCACACUGGAACUGAGACACGGUCCAGACUCCUACGGGAGGCAGCAGUGAGGAAUAUUGGUCAAUGGGCGAGAGCCUGAACCAGCCAAGUCGCGUGAAGGAAGACGGUCCUAUGGAUUGUAAACUUCUUUAGUAGGUGAGUACAAGCAGUUACGUGUAGCUGUAAGCAAGU